Molecule: long non-coding RNA, 358 nt
Organism: Megalops cyprinoides (Indo-Pacific tarpon)
Lineage: Eukaryota; Metazoa; Chordata; Actinopteri; Elopiformes; Megalopidae
Exons: 4
Source: RefSeq, a predicted model, not a curated record
CAGAACGCAUGGCACUCGCGGGAUAAAACGCGUGCAUAUUGAGUGGGUAAUCUUUGAUUAAUCGAUUAUACAACGCAGACGCAACAACAGUGAAAGCCCAGAGAUCACGAGCAGGCGAGAGUGUUCCCCUGUGCCCGCCCCCUUCACCAAACACCGGCGUGUGUGUCCCUUGGCUUUAAAGAAAGAGUCUCUACUCUGUCAGCCUGAGUGACUCAUGGGACCCCAGACGUCGCCCACAGCACUGAGGACCAGGCUAAGCCAAUAACCACGAACAGUGAAGGGAACCAUCUGCACCCCGUCAAUGCAUCACCUGCUCCACUGAGCCAUCGCCACGGAGACCAGGGGACCGGGGAUUAGG